Molecule: long non-coding RNA, 498 nt
Organism: Mirounga angustirostris (Northern elephant seal)
Lineage: Eukaryota; Metazoa; Chordata; Mammalia; Carnivora; Phocidae
Exons: 3
Source: RefSeq, a predicted model, not a curated record
CCAAUCACAAAAGACGACCCAUUUAUAUGAUUCCAUUCAUCUGAAAUAUCCAUAACGGGAAAAUCUGUAAAUUCAGAAAAUAGAUUCUUGGUUUCUUGGGACUGGAAGUGGAUGGAGUGAUAAGAAAAUUGCUGAAAGGGGAAAAAGUGAAAUUGGAUUUCUACAUCACACCUCACAAAAAUCAACUUCAGGUGGAUUGAAGACUUUCGUGUGGAAGGGAAAACUUUAAGAAUGAAAGAGAAUAUCUUUCACCCGUGGGGGCAGGGAAGAAUUUCUUAAGCGACUGUAUAAUACUAUAUGGUGGAGACAUGUCAUUUUACAUCUGUCCAAGUCCACUGAAUGUACACCACUAAGAAUGAAUAUUCAGAGGACAUUUGGACACACAGAGAGACACCAGGAAUGCCUGAGCACAGACAAAAGACCAUGUGAGGACACAGAGAAGAGGCAGCCAUCUGCAAGCCAAGGAGAGAAGCCUCAGAAGGAAUCAACCUGCUGACG